This 283-nucleotide long non-coding RNA is filed under the name Carica papaya (papaya). RNAcentral's name for it is "long non-coding RNA (CPAP_LNC007881)". The record is from RNAcentral. Lineage: Eukaryota; Viridiplantae; Streptophyta; Magnoliopsida; Brassicales; Caricaceae.
AUCUUUACUGAUUGAUGUCCUCAAUGCAAAAAGAGUCUACCACAUUUAAUCUUCUAUUUCCUCCAUGGUUCAACAUUUUCUAGAGUAUCAUCAGGAACUGCUGCUUCAGCAGCAAUAAUAAGUUGCCAUAAGUCUUGACCUUGAAGAUAGGCCUCUAGUUUGUACCUAAAAGCUUCUCAACACCAUAUUGUGCACCUGAACGAUUUCCCCCAUUUGUUAACUCCAUACUGCAUAUAGAAGAGUUUUCCCUUAACAACUUUCAAUGUCCUCCAACAAGGCAAAU